GUUGCUGUUGUUGCUUUUUCUCUGGUGGUGAUGGACUGGUAAACACAGCUGGAUAGCUUCGACGUUAACAGGGUGGCUAACUCCAUUACCCCGCUAACUUAAGACGGGGAUAGUACAAUUAUGAACUUGGGAAACGUAUUAUGGUGAUUUGGCUCGCAUUCACAGACUGCUUCGCCACCCACGGAGCGUUCAGCUUUGUCAGCUGUCCAGCUCUGCCCCUCGCACAUUCUCUCAGGGUUAGUUGUGGGCAGUCACCUGUUGCUGGAAAUAAGAAAGGCUGUCAGACUGAAAUAGCAGGUGGUGCUGGUCCUAAAGCCUCCAGCUGUGGGCUUGAAUUAGAAAUCUUUACAAGCUCCAAUCUGCUGUUAUGAAUCCUCCUGGGAGUUUAAGCCAUGGCUUUUUGUUGGGCAUCAAGAUACUAGCUCAUAAAAAUUUUACUUUUUUGUUGCAAGGUGUAGCCAGUCCCAGUCCCAGGUUUGUAUGUUGCAUUAAACCUUACAGACCAUUUCCAGAAUACUGAAGUCCAGACAGUCUUAUUAUGGAUGUCAAAGUUGAAGGAAGUUUAAAGAUUAUGGAAACAUUACAGAUAAACAGAUCAAUCCAUCAGGCAUGUGAUCGGGUUCAUUAAUGGCAUUUUUAAAUAGUUCCCUGAUGUCUGCACACAUUAAGUCAAUUAAAAGAUAAACAAUAAUGUCUACAGAGACUGCAAGAAGCUUUUGAAAAGCUGCCUCCAGUCGUAGAUGAGAUGAUGAGCAGGAUAAGCACAGUAGGAGUAAGUAAAGUUAUUAUAUUUCACGUGUUCACUUAGAUUACCUGUUUAGCUUGAGAACUAGAAAUGUCAAUGGAUGUAAAUAAGCAAUCAACUCUGGGGAAGUUUAGAGAAGAUGGUGGAAACUCUGAUUUAUGUACCUAUAAAUGCUUACCUGACUAUUCUCAGUCACCGUGGUCUUUUCUACACAAUAACACAUUUGUCUUAUUCUAAAUAGCAGACGACCAAAUCUGAAACAUCUACUUGCUUUUGUUCAAUGAAAACUUUCUUAUGCCAUAUAGAAUAAUUCAAUUAAAAGUUGCUUUUGACAUUAAUAAUCUUUUGAAAUCUACCCAAUUUUAUUAGUUUUAUAAAAUCAUUGGAAAUAAAUCUAAGACAUGUUACUGGCUUAGCCAAGCUUGUAUAUUUGGUCAUAAAUGCAUGGAACAAUGGAAUUUUACAUGACAUGACUCUCUCAUUUCUUAUUUGAUUAUUGUAUUUAUCAAACGCAACAACAAUAACAACAACCUGGUAUCAAUUAUCAUAUACUGGCCAGUCUGCUCUAAUCAUUUGCACUGACAUCAGCUGUUAAAAAUGGUAUUGGAUGACCAAAAGAAGAGAUUCUGUCAGAGGUAAAUUUGAUCAUGAAGGAAUUUGACAGGUUGUUUGUUUUGUUUUGUUUUGUCUUGUUUUUCGCUUAAUCACAGCAUUUGAAACGUUUCUUCCCAUUAACUUGAUGGUGGACUAAAUUAAUUGUGUGGCUGCUAGUCUUUCAAAAAUUAGAAGUAUGAAGCAACUUUGGCCUUCCUAAGUUGAUUUAUCGAUAUAGUCUCUCUGAAGUUAUAAUGGCAGGCAGGUACUUUGAAAACCUGUGCUGCCUCAGGAUUGGCCUGCAUGAACGCUGACAGAUACUGAUCUUAACACAAAUGAUUUCAGCUGCAAUAUGAACUUCAGUCAAAGUGGGUCCCUGAGUGUGCAGCUCUGUAGCCUGUCCUGGUCUGACUGCUCUUCCGGGCAGUGAGCAGGCACUCGACAAACGGGAAGAGUGCGUGUGAUUAGAUUCCCCUCUCUAUUCUUCAUUGUUCUCCAUGGAGCUUGCUGACAGAAAACUGGACAAAGGGACAAAAAUAGUUUCAGUCACAGAGCCAAGGUCUGGACCAGAGACGGGAGCGAGUGUAACUUUUGGCUAUGACCUCUGUUUGUCCUCUAGAGGGCGUCCUAUAGCCUUCAAGCAUGCCAAGCAUCCUAACAAGGCUGUGGUGAAAGAGAGGAUGGUAGAGACAUAUGAGAGAACAUACUCAGAGAGCAUACAAGAGAGUACAAAGGCAGGUUUUUGCUAACUUUCGUGAGGUUUUUAGCCAGCGAGUUUCUAUGCAACAUCUGAAUUGUGCUCUAGUGUAUCAUAAUAUAUACAGUACUGUAGUGUCUUAUUCACAGUAAAUAACUGCUCAUCUUGAUACAGCUGCUCCUCUCAGUGGGUGGUAUAUGUUGGACAGUGAAUGAUCCUUUUGCUCUAAAAGUUGAUGAGUUGAAAAGAGGAAAAAUGUGCAGAAAUAAGGAUGUGAGCGAUGUCUGAGGCCAUAUUUGGGUUGGUUUUCAGGGGUACCCAGUCUGUAGUGAUCGAUGCAGAAGUGGUCCAAGUAGGGCUGGGCGAUAUGGGAAAAAGUUUAUCACGAUAUAUUUUUUUCAUAUCAGUAAAUAUCGAUAUAAAUAUAAAAAAAUCAUUUUUCAAUCAUAAAUGGUCCCUGUUACUCUUCAACGAAAUGCAAUAGUGCUUAUUGGUAGCAUGUCUUUUGCAAUACAAUAAGCUACUGCAUCUGUGAGGUCUUUGAGUCUCUUUGUCAUUUUGUCGUAAGGCAUUGCACUAGAGGAAGCAGACUGAAUGGUUGCCUGUUUCGGCUGCACAGGUGCCAUGGGCUCCUUGCUCGGCUCAGGGUUUGUAACCUUUAGCAUUGCGCGUGCUCUGUUGCGUGGCACUGCUUCAGGUGGUGAAAAAAAGAUUUGAGGUAUUCCCCGACUUUGCAAGAACAUGUACUUGACAUAAUUUGCAGUGCACAUUACUCUGCUUCAUGUCCGACCUCAAAAAACCAAAAUACCUCCACACCACCAACGUUUUCGUGCCAGUGUUGUCGACGAUGUCAUCAUCUGUUGGGCCUUCAUCUGCGUUUCUGCCAGGGGUAGCACUCAUUUUCAGUUUCUUUUCUUCUCACUGAUAGUGCUGUUGACUUCAUGUUUUAAAGUGCUAUGGUUGCGUGUAGCUGCAGCCUGCUACUACGCAGUUGUUUGCUACUUGGUUUUAAUUCAGCACAUGAUUGGUUCAACAUGAAGCGGACCCAAAGCAACUCCCCUUUUCAUUGGCUAUUCGUAUAGUCUACCAAAACAUGGCAGAAUGCUGACUAUCAAAAAGGAUAUUGACCAUGUUUUAAACCGAUAUUGAGGGAAAAUCAUUUUCGAUAUUGUUAUCGUUUUAUCGCCCAGACCUAGGUACAAGGAAGGAAAAUGGUUAACUGGGCAGCCAAGGCUCUAUGUGGUCGACCUAAGUGGUCAGUACCAACGAGAGCGGCAAUGUUUGUCAAACUCUUGUAGAAACCGUUUUAAUAGAAAUGUGUUUGAACACCCAGUGCCUUUAGGGGUCAGGGCUGUUUAGCAUCAGAAAGGGGGGGGGGGGCUACACCAUAAGAGGCAGGUUGUCAUGAUUUAUGGCUGAUGGAUUGGUGUAUGAAGACGGAGUUCCUGCCAGGAAACAAAGAGAGUGUUCAAGGCCCUGUAAUUCUUGAACUAAAGUAAAACACUUGUUUAUGGCAACAGUUAAACAAAUAUUUCACAGCAUAGAAAUGCUGAUAUAAUCAAAUAAAAUACAAUACAUGUAGCACCUUCAUCCAAAGAAAGCUAUUUGAAGAUGUAGGCCUUUGUCAGAGUCUCAUCGCAUUUCUUCAUCCUGCUGAUGUUCAGCAUGUUUUCACCGUACCUGUGUCUCCAACCAGUCAUCUAUCCUCAAUCUCAAAUGUUUCCAUUACCAGAAGUGCUUUCUUUUUCACUUAAAGGUCUUCAUCGACCACAUUUUCCUCACUCUUUUCUCCUUCUGGCUGUCUUACCAUGGUGUAAGCAAAUUUAGAUCAGUUAAUCAGAGAUGGCUGCUGGGCUAGCUGGCACUAAUAUGAUAUGAAUCCAUAUAUCAGAGGCUCAAUCUAAACAGGUCAAAUGUGGAAAGUCAGUCUAUGUAAAAUAGUUUCUUUUACUCUUCAUAGUAAUGGUAAUCUUUUGCACAUGGCGAUCAUGAUGGAGUUGCAAUUCUUUGCACAGCCUUGCAUUGAAACGUCUGUCACUCUGGAUUCACGUGUCAUUACAGACUCAUCCAGUCAGUGAGAACAUCUCAUUCACUGUAUUGCACGUCCUGGUGGUGGUGAGAGUGUGCAUACCAUCUAUAUUAUGUAAAGAUGGCAAAGCUUUAUAACAUCUUUCGAUCCCGUAAGGCUUUGAAUUCUCUGUCUGUGGGACUGAGAGCCUGAGCAGCCCCCCGCCCACACACGCACACACAUACACACACACACACCACGUGCUGGCCUUUGUGUUUUAUGGACUGGGAUUACAUUACGCACCGAGCAUCCUGUCGCAGGGUCAGAGCAGAGGUCACUGCAAGCUGCAUACUUUCACUGCUACAUGUGCAAUGCCAUGCUUGGCCUUUCCUAUGGAGUACACCUCAAAGGUUGUACUUGGAUUUAAUUGCUGCUGACAUUGCAUCUUCAUUCUGUUGUAAAUGCGUUGAUAUCAGGAUCAUCCUCUGUAUGUUACCCUUUUGAGGACUUAUGUGUCGCUUGUUUUUAAGACAGCUCACCAAAGUUGUUGCUCUUCUGCUCUACUGUAUGUAAACUCGCCUGCUUCACAUGCUUGCCUUGUUUGCAUAUGUUAAAGAGUCCUGCUUGCUUCUCCAAACACAUGAAUCCACGUCUGCACUGCAGUCACCAGAAACGCUCGAGCCUGUCUGGGAAAUGGCACCAAAUCUCCUCUGUAAACAUCUUAGGGCUACGCUCCUGAGAGCCUCCCCGGUGCUAGCGAGUGGAAAACAUUGAUUGUUGUUUGUAUGCUUCCCUUCCUAAAUUUCAUUCAGUAUUUGAGCCUUUGUGGUGAAUCUCUCUUAUAUCAGCUCACUCACAGAGCAGAAAAACCGUGUUAGGCUGUGUUUCAUAUUAAGUUUGUAAAUGGCAAGGCAAUUACUCAAAAUUUAGGCCUACAUAGAGGCUCCAUCCAACCAAAUCUCUCUGUUCCUCGUUUGCCCUCCCUGGCUCCGUCCCUCCCUCUGAGUUAAUGGGGUUGUGUGGCUUGGCAAGAUUGCUCUUUUUAGGAUCUGUGUUGAAUAUGAAGAAGGCAGACACACACUCUCAGACAUGCACGUACAGAGUGGUCUUGUUAGCUACCCUCACAUUCUCUGGCAAAGGCAGUUUGUUCCAGUUUUAUAAUGAGGAGAUCGGGACUUUUGAAGCCAUGCCACGGAUACACCAAAGAGGAUAGUGUAACACACACACACACACACACACACACACACACACACACACACACACACACACACACACACACACACACACACUCACACUGAUCUGGAAUCCAUUUUCUUUCCUCUGUCUAUUCUUUCACAUCAUAAUGGAAAGAGCACGUCUAUUUUAGCACCAACUUUAUGGAAAUGGUGACCUCUCAGGUUUGAUUGAGCCAAAUCUAAAAACAACACAGUAUUGUAAGUGCACAUAGGUUCAGUUGAAGUAAUUGAGUCUGCACAAAACUUUUACAGCAUGAGUCGAAAAACAGAAAAAAAAAAACCUUAAAGUUGUUCUGAAUUAAAAUAAGAAGAACUUUAAUUAACCCAAAGGGGGAAAUUCAGUUACAGAUUAUCUCAGCUCUAAAUAAAAGAUCAUGCCAUUUUUCACUUUAGAUUGGAGGGCUUUCAAUUAUCAGUCUCCAAUCGUAGCACCAUCGACUCAUCCUGCUGACUUUGACUGUCAAUUGGAUCAUUUAUUUUAUUAUAGUAUACGGAUUUGAAGCCGAAAAGCUCUCGGUAAUUCCGUGUUUUUUCUCCACUUCCUGAAACCAACAUUGCGCAGUAGCGUUGUACACGCUCCACCACUUGCGCAGUAGCAUUGUACGCAUUCAGCGGGAGAGUCGGAGAGUCGCUGUGAUGAUGCUCGGCUCAAACAGCGUAUCCCCCGGGUGAGCUACGCAAUCUUCGUACACCCAUAGGCUGUAUCAAGUGUCAAUCAUAGAAAACAUGAACCCCCAAAUAACUUUUAAAAAUGGAGCUUCACAGAAAAAAGAGGACUUGAGCACAAACUAGUUUUACAGUAACUACAUGUCAACAUCACAAGCAGGGGGGAGAAAAAUGUAUAUUCUGUGUUAUAAACUUCUAAAGUUUGUCAACAGCUCCAUAGGGAUUGCUGGAGGAGGCAAAAUUUAUGACCUAUACUGCAGCCAGUCACCAGAGGGUGCUGUUCUUGCGGUGGCUUCACCAAGCGAGGAGGCAGAUGGUGUCAAUUCUAUAUACAGUUUUUGGUAAAAA
Non-coding RNA from Xyrichtys novacula (pearly razorfish), 6293 nucleotides. The record is from the annotation of a GenBank genome assembly. NCBI's taxonomy places the organism in Eukaryota, Metazoa, Chordata, Actinopteri, Labriformes, Labridae.